GAGUUUGAUCCUGGCUCAGGAUGAACGCUGGCGGCGUGCCUAACACAUGCAAGUCGAGCGGUAUAUACUUAAGUGAAACUUCGGUCGAGCGAGAGUAUAGAGAGCGGCGGACGGGUGAGUAACGCGUAGGCAACCUGCCCCAUACACAGGGAUAGCCUCGGGAAACCGGGAUUAAAACCUGAUAAUGCGAAAGAUCUACAUGGAUCUUUCGCCAAAGAUUUAUCGGUAUGGGAUGGGCCUGCGUCUGAUUAGCUAGUUGGUGGGGUAACGGCCUACCAAGGCGACGAUCAGUAGCCGACCUGAGAGGGUAAUCGGCCACAUUGGAACUGAGACACGGUCCAAACUCCUACGGGAGGCAGCAGUGGGGAAUAUUGCACAAUGGGCGAAAGCCUGAUGCAGCAACGCCGCGUGAGCGAUGAAGGCCUUUGGGUCGUAAAGCUCUGUCCUUGGGGAAGAAAAAAAUGACGGUACCCUUGGAGGAAGCCCCGGCUAACUACGUGCCAGCAGCCGCGGUAAUACGUAGGGGGCAAGCGUUAUCCGGAAUUAUUGGGCGUAAAGAGUGCGUAGGUGGUUUUGUAAGCGCGGGGUGAAAGGCAAUAGCUCAACUAUUGUAAGCCUUGCGAACUGCAAGACUUGAGUGCAGGAGAGGAAAGUGGAAUUCCUAGUGUAGCGGUGAAAUGCGUAGAUAUUAGGAGGAACACCAGUGGCGAAGGCGACUUUCUGGACUGUAACUGACACUGAGGCACGAAAGCGUGGGGAGCAAACAGGAUUAGAUACCCUGGUAGUCCACGCCGUANACGAUGAGCACUAGGUGUCGGGGCCGCAAGGUUUCGGUGCCGCAGUUAACGCA
This 850-nucleotide ribosomal RNA is filed under the name bacterium enrichment culture clone CH492. RNAcentral describes it as "bacterial SSU rRNA". It matches the Rfam family "Bacterial small subunit ribosomal RNA", at positions 9 to 859 of the family's 1533-position model. The record is from RNAcentral.